GAUGAACGCUGGCGGCGUGCUUAACACAUGCAAGUCGAACGGAAAGGCCGAAGCUUGCUUCGGUACUCGAGUGGCGAACGGGUGAGUAACACGUGGGUGAUCUGCCCUGUACUUCGGGAUAAGCUUGGGAAACUGGGUCUAAUACCGGAUAUGACGAUCUCUUGGAUGGGGUUGUGGAAAGCUUUUGCGGUAUGGGAUGAGCUCGCGGCCUAUCAGCUUGUUGGUGGGGUAAUGGCCUACCAAGGCGUCGACGGGUAGCCGGCCUGAGAGGGUGUACGGCCACAUUGGGACUGAGAUACGGCCCAGACUCCUACGGGAGGCAGUAGUGGGGAAUAUUGCACAAUGGGCGCAAGCCUGAUGCAGCGACGCCGCGUGGGGGAUGACGGCCUUCGGGUUGUAAACUCCUUUCGCAAUCGACGAAGCCUUUUGGUGACGGUAGGUGGAGAAGAAGCACCGGCUAACUACGUG
RNAcentral lists this ribosomal RNA (468 nucleotides) under uncultured bacterium. Its description in RNAcentral is "partial 16S ribosomal RNA". It matches the Rfam family "Bacterial small subunit ribosomal RNA", at positions 28 to 507 of the family's 1533-position model. The record is from RNAcentral.